This is an RNA transcript of Anopheles bellator, 1097 nucleotides long. It is a transcript of the gene named myosin light chain alkali, with no coding region annotated. Lineage: Eukaryota; Metazoa; Arthropoda; Insecta; Diptera; Culicidae. The record is from RefSeq and is a predicted model, not a curated record. The transcript is spliced from 6 exons.
UCCGACCCAACCUGUGAACGCUAAAUAUAAUUCGUGAAUGUGAAUAUUUCAGUGCUCUGUGAACAGUGGUUCGGAAUAGUACGCAGUUGAGUUCAAGUCGGUCCGCGAGCUACACAACAUCACAAUGGCCAGCGAUCUGAAGGAUGUUGAAAUUGAAAAGGCGCAGUUCGUCUUCUCCGUCUACGAUUGGGAAGGCUCUGGUGCGAUGGACGCCAUCGACCUCGGCAAUGCCCUCCGUGCGCUGAACCUGAACCCAACUCUGGACCUCAUCAACAAGAUGGGUGGCACUCAGAAGCGCGGCGAGAAGAAGAUCAAGUUCGACGAAUUCCUGCCGAUCUACUCGCAGGUCAAGAAGGAGAAGGACCAGGGCUGCUACGAGGACUUCCUCGAGUGUCUGAAGCUGUACGACAAGGAAGAGAAUGGCACCAUGCUGCUGGCUGAGCUGCAGCACAGCUUAACCGCUCUUGGUGAGAAGCUCGAUGAGGAUGAACUGGAAGCCGUCUUCAAGGACUGCAUGGACCCCGAGGACGAUGACGGUAACAUCCCAUACGGACCGUUCCUCAAGAAGAUGAUGGAUAACAUGGUCGUAAUUGACCACGUUAAGUAAACUCACCAUCAGCUCAAUUGUGUACUUUUUCAAGUCAUCCACUAAAUGUCAUCAAACGAAAAAAAAACAAGAAGCACACACAAAAAGAGUAUUCCAUAUCUUCAGAGAUUGUGUGACUACACGCCACCGGCUUAUUGAAAGAGCUGUUAUGUAAUCGAGCUAUUUAUAAUACAACAAAAAUAUCAAAGAGAACAACACCUUCGGAAGCAACAGCACAACAGACAGCGCCGAUGGCGAAACCUGGCGAGCAAGGAACAGCAGCGCAUCAGAACAUCAACGAAUGAGAUUUCCAGUUGAAACACAACAGCAAGUGACAACAAAGCAAACAACAACAACAACAAGAACAACAACAACAAGAAGAAGAACAUCAAGAACAAGAAACAAAACGAAUUACCGUUCAAGAACAUCGGAAUGUAAAAGAAAAAAAACGGAAGCGGUUAUUAAUAUUUUUCUGUUAAGAUUUAAAUAAAUUUCUACAUAAAGAGGUCAA